AAAGGGGUCGUCACUCAGAGGCGGCAAAACUGUCACCUGAAGUCUUCUCCACAGACUGAGAAGCUGCUGAGCUGAGCGGAAAGCCAACUGCUGAGUGCGGUUGCAGUGGUUGUGGUGGUUUGAAUGAAAAUAGCCCCUACAGGCUCAUAUAUCUGAACGUUUGCUCGCUUGCUGGAGCUGUUUGGAAAGAAUUAGGAGGUGUGGACUUGUUGGCUCAUCUCACUAGUGAGGCUGGAGAGAUGGCUCAGUGGUGAACACUUGCUGCUCUUUCAGAGGACCAGA
This is a non-coding RNA of Peromyscus maniculatus bairdii (prairie deer mouse), 282 nucleotides long. Lineage: Eukaryota; Metazoa; Chordata; Mammalia; Rodentia; Cricetidae. The record is from RefSeq and is a predicted model, not a curated record.